AACGCGAAGAACCUUACCCAGGUUUGACAUGCAGAUGACAGUUCUAGAAAUAGGACGUUCCUUCGGGACAUCUGCACAGGUGCUGCAUGGCUGUCGUCAGCUCGUGCCGUGAGGUGUUUGGUUAAGUCCAGCAACGAGCGCAACCCUUAUCAUUAGUUGCCAACAUUUAAGGUGGGAACUCUAGUGAGACUGCCUGGGUUAACCAGGAGGAAGGUGAGGAUGACGUCAAGUCCGCAUGGCCCUUAUAUCUGGGGCUACACACGUGCUACAAUGGUCGGUACAGAAGGCAGCGAAACCGCAAGGCGAAGCAAAUCCCAAAAACCGAUCCCAGUUCAGAUUGUAGUCUGCAACUCGACUACAUGAAGACGGAAUUGCUAGUAAUGGCGAGUCAGCAACAUCGCCGUGAAUACGUUCCCGGGCCUUGUA
RNAcentral lists this ribosomal RNA (426 nucleotides) under uncultured Chlamydiae bacterium. RNAcentral describes it as "bacterial SSU rRNA". It matches the Rfam family "Bacterial small subunit ribosomal RNA", at positions 958 to 1385 of the family's 1533-position model. The record is from RNAcentral. Lineage: Bacteria; Pseudomonadati; Chlamydiota; Chlamydiia.